GGUUUGUGGCUCAGUGGCAAAGCUCUCACCUAGCACGUGUGAGGCCCUGGGUUGGAUCCUCAGCACCA
Molecule: transfer RNA, 68 nt
Filed under: Marmota monax (woodchuck)
Lineage: Eukaryota; Metazoa; Chordata; Mammalia; Rodentia; Sciuridae
Description: tRNA.Ala
Source: RNAcentral